Molecule: long non-coding RNA, 3550 nt
Organism: Prionailurus viverrinus (fishing cat)
Lineage: Eukaryota; Metazoa; Chordata; Mammalia; Carnivora; Felidae
Exons: 3
Source: RefSeq, a predicted model, not a curated record
AAAAGGGUCUCUCUUUCUUUGUUCCUUCCUUCCUUCCUUUCUUUCUUUUCAGGGGGAGCUCACCUGGCUCAGCCAGCCGGGAAGGCAGAAGUUUUGCAGUGUAACAGAGGUGUGGGGUGUGGUGCCAGCCAGGACAGAUACAGCACAAUGUCACCUCUGGAGAAGAUGGCCUCAAUAAGCAGCUGGUCGCCGGUGACCCGCCGUCCUCCCACACUGCCCACUGAUGUCAGAGACGCUGAGGACGCAGUGGUGGUAGACGGUUUUGACAUCACUGCCAACAGCAUGCUCACAAGAGACCUGGAGAGAGAAAGUGAGCCCUACGCAGAGAAGAGAAUAUCCUUCCAGCCUUUUUUCUGCGGAACUGGGCUUUGAGCCAGACUUGCCUGACCCCAAGCCCUUUCACCCUCCGGCCCUGAGCUGCUUUCCCCUCCCCUAUUCAAUGGGAGCUACAAUGUCCACUCCUGAGGGGUGCAGUGAAGAUGAAAUGAAAUCGUGUCCUGGAAGCAAAGGGCAUUUUGAAAGCUUUUAUCAAAUGGGAGUUUCUUUCUGGAGGAGAAUUCAACCAUACGAUGAUGAUAAGAGAAAUGAACUCAUAAUGACCAUAUGCUGCUGCUGCUUAUUUGUGUCUCAGAAAAACAUGUCUAAGGCAUUGCCCUUGUCAUCGGGCAGCAGAGCAGCAGUCGGGAGGACCCCCGCGGAACAACGGGCAACAAAUAGCGCCUGCUGGGCACAGGCUGGAAUUAAGAGACAGAAAGGCCAAGGGAGGGUUUCCCACGGUCUUGGACUUCACAGAGGGCGCCGGGACCACUAAAAUGAGCGAAACACAGGCCUGCCCAGUCCUUCGGAAUUCACCAUGCAGUGAGUAAGAUGGGCAUAAAAAUGUCGUCAUGUAUCAUUCUUAAGUAGUGAUGAUGAUGAUAAAAGCAGUAGCGUGCUGAGCACUAGCACGUCCCGGGCACUGAUGCAAGCAUUCUACACAUACUCGGUGUUAGGACUGAGGUACGAACGAGAUACAGAUACGGGAGGCGUCCAGAGCAGAGGCCUUUCUGCAGCAUGGGGCCCAGGGGUAGAAGUUCAUUGUCCUCACUCUUCACCUCAGUCCUGAGGAGAAGCUCCUCCAGGGGAGAGAACAGCAUUUUCCGCAGGGUUCUAGAAUGGGUCAAGGAGGGCAUCUGAAUUCCCAGCAGCCCUCACCCCCACCUCCACCCAGACCCGCUGCUCUCCCCGCUGGCAAGUCUCUGACCUUCCUCCUGUGGGGCUGGCUGGGUCAGACUUGUCUAGACCAGAACACCCAUUACCCAAUCUCUCCAACCCAUCUCUUCAACUGAUGCCCUCGGGGCCUUGUGGGGAGAGCAAACCUUGGGAGGACUGGGGAGGCCACAGAGAUAGUGACAGAUAGAGGCUUGAGGGUAGGGAUGGAGGGGCUGCGGGGCUGGUGUCCAAGGCUGGGGGGCUGGACAGAGGAUGAGCCAGCCAGCUCCCUGGUGCCCCACUCAAGAGCAGUCCCUUUGGGGAAGGCAGGGCUGGUAGCUCAGAGGUGGGUGGGGACAGCAGAGAGAAGUGGGAGGUGCUGGUAUUUGCAGGGCUCAGCGUAGGAGAACAAAUGUGUUCCCAGACGGUGGCCCACCCACCUUUUCUUCCCAUUUCUGGUUCCAUCCUGUAUCUUGGGGGGCCACCAGUAUCACCAGUGCCUAUGUAGACAGCCCCACCCGCACACUGACACAUCGCCAAACAGCAAUGGGCGUCCUUGGGCCCAGGAAAAGGUUGUCAAGUUUGGGACAUACUUGUAUUAAAACAGUAUUCCUUAUGUGCCUGAAAUUCAAAUGUAACUAGGCUCCCUGUAUUUUAUCGGGCAGUCCUAAUCAGGGGUGUCCCCACCAGCCAUGAGGUCGGCCCUCAGGAGGCCCAGGGUAGAAAUCCUCACAAGCCCUGCAAGCUGGCUCAGGGCCCAUUGGGCAGUGACUUUCGGGGUCCUCGUGCUAGAGCACGGCUGGGGGACACAGGCUCUGGGUGGGUACUUCUUGGCCCUGUAGUCUUUUUUGGCCAUUGAAGAGUCAUGUCCGGGCCUCCUAAAGCUCAGGAGCUAGAUCAGGGGCCCCUCUGCCUGCUUACUGGCUGUAUGGGAUGAGCCUCAACCCACCUUCAAGUGAGAGCUCACUUCAAGCAAGGGGCGUGCCAGGACCUUUACUGGCCUCCUCGGUGGGUGCCUUUACGUCUAGAUCCUCUAGAUUUUCCAAGUCCCCGGGAGGCAGUGACUUCCGAUGUUGGGAGACCUAUGUGAUAGAUCCGCUGAAAGCCUGGGUAAAACACAGGCCACCCAGUUAUAUUUGAAUUUCACACGAACAAUGUAAUAAUUUACUAUAAGUAUGUCCCGUUCAAUAUUUGGGACAGACUUAUACUAAAAAACGAUUUCUUGAUUAUCUGAAACUCAAAUUUAAUCCGGUGUUCUGGUUUUGAUUUCAUCUUUCUUUCUGGUAAAUCUGAGAGCUGGGACAUUGGAGUGCCACAGCUAGGAUCUGGCCCUAGCUUCUCUGCUUCUUGCCCGGUGAACCUCCCCAAGGGUCACUUUUCCUGUCCGCCCCCUAGGGCUGAUGGAAGGAUAAAAUGAAUAAGUGCCUGGCAUAAGUGACAGUUGUUAUUGUUGUCCCUGGCCAAGGUCCCACCGCUAGAAGGCUGCGGGGCUGGUAGCUGCCCUCCGGCCUCCAGGCUCAGGUUCUCAGUCUUCUUGAGACCACUCCGCAGCCCGCUGCACGUUCCUCGGACCUGAGACCACCCUGCCUGCAAGGACCCAGGCAAGGGCGCCAAGAGAGGCUCGAGAAGGAAGCAUGUUCUGGUUGGGAGAUCUCAAAUUCCCUGAUGACUGGAGAGGAGUCGUUGGGGACAAAAGGGAAAGGGAGGAGCUGACAUUUAUUCUGGGCUCAGUGUAUGCCUGGCGUUUUGUAGUUUCUAAUUUAAUCCUCACAUUCCUGGUCAUUUCUCUUUUGCAACUAAAGAUGUAUUCAUAGGACCAGAGGAGACGGCCCCUGAUGCUACUCUGCUUGUAUGCUGGUUCUUCUGGUGGAUGUCCCCUUCCCAGUGAGCCCUUCCCUGACCACCAUGCUUAAAAUGGAAACCCUCCCCCAUGGCUUGGAACUCUAUUCCCCUUCUCUCCUUCCUUCUUUUCCAAAGCACCCUCAUCAAAUACAGUAAAAUAUUGGUUUGCAAGCAUAAGUCGCUCCAGAAACAUGCUUGUAAUCCAAAGCACUUAUAUAUCAAAGGAAAUUUCAAGAAUCAUUGUUGUGAUCGCAUACUACUCAUAUGGCAAGACAUCGCUUGUUUAUCAAGUUAAAAUUUAUUAGAAAUGUGUGUUUGUCUUGCAGAACAUUCGCAGACCAAGUUACUCGAAAGCCAAGGUUUUACUGUGUAUUAAAUAGGUCUCCCUCCCCUCCCAGAAUGUAAGCUCCACGAGAGCAGAUUUUUCCAGUCUGUUCUGUUUACUGACAUGUUCCCUGUGCCUGAAACAGAGCCUUGUACAUAUUGGUUGAAUGAAUUAAAGAUAAUAAGAAUAACA